RNAcentral lists this small RNA (1919 nucleotides) under Pongo abelii (Sumatran orangutan). Its description in RNAcentral is "retained intron". The record is from RNAcentral. Lineage: Eukaryota; Metazoa; Chordata; Mammalia; Primates; Hominidae.
GGAGGGCGGGGCCUCCCCCGGGCUCGGCCGCACCGCCGCCUCCUCCGCCUCCACCUCCUCACCAGCGCUAAAGCCGGGACUGGACCGAGCGGAGUUGUGCGUGUCGCCGAAGGGGGGUGGGCCGGGGGAGGGGAGGUUCGUUCCGCGGAGCCGCAGCCAGAACCGGGACCAAGAAUCGCCUUCAGCCCUGUCUGGUGCAUCCUUGGCAGAAAGUGAGGAGGAAAACACCCCCAUUGUUCUUUGGCAUGGACACAAGUUCAGUGGGAGGAUUAGAAUUGACUGAUCAGACUCCUGUUUUAUUAGGGAGUACGGCCAUGGCAACUAGUCUCACGAAUGUAGGAAACUCAUUUAGUGGUCCAGCUAAUCCUUUAGUGUCUAGAUCUAAUAAGUUUCAGAACUCGUCAGUGGAAGAUGAUGAUGAUGUUGUUUUUAUCGAACCUGUACAACCUCCCCCACCUUCUGUACCAGUGGUAGCUGAUCAAAGAACCAUAACAUUUACAUCAUCAAAAAAUGAAGAACUACAAGGAAAUGAUUCCAAAAUUACUCCUUCCUCAAAAGAGUUGGCAUCUCAGAAGGGAAGUGUAAGUGAGACAAUUGUCAUUGAUGAUGAAGAGGACAUGGAAACAAAUCAAGGGCAAGAGAAAAAUUCCUCCAAUUUUAUUGAACGAAGACCUCCUGAGACUAAAAACAGAACCAAUGAUGUGGAUUUCUCCACUUCCAGUUUUUCAAGAAGUAAGACCAAGACUGGAGUAGGACCUUUUAAUCCUGGUAGAAUGAAUGUGGCAGGAGACGUUUUUCAGAAUGGAGAAUCUGCAACUCAUCAUAAUCCUGAUUCUUGGAUCUCCCAGUCAGCUUCAUUUCCCCGUAAUCAGAAACAACCAGGGGUGGACUCUUUAUCACCAGUGGCCUCACUUCCUAAACAGAUUUUCCAGCCUUCUGCCCAACAGCAGCCUACUAAACCAGUUAAAGUCACUUGUGCAAACUGCAAAAAACCUUUACAGAAGGGCCAGACAGCUUAUCAACGAAAAGGAUCAGCUCACCUCUUUUGUUCUACCACCUGCCUUUCUUCCUUCUCCCACAAGCCUGCUCCAAAGAAACUCUGUGUUAUGUGUAAAAAAGAUAUAACUACAAUGAAAGGAACCAUUGUUGCUCAAGUGGAUUCAAGUGAGUCCUUCCAGGAAUUCUGUAGUACAUCUUGUUUAUCUCUCUAUGAAGACAAACAGAAUCCUACUAAAGGAGCUCUAAAUAAAUCAAGAUGUACAAUCUGUGGUAAACUAACUGAGAUUCGCCAUGAAGUCAGCUUUAAAAAUAUGACUCAUAAGCUGUGCAGUGACCACUGCUUUAAUAGAUAUAGAAUGGCCAAUGGUUUAAUAAUGAAUUGCUGUGAACAGUGUGGAGAGUACUUGCCCAGUAAAGGUGCUGGAAAUAAUGUUCUGGUGAUUGAUGGUCAACAGAAAAGAUUUUGCUGUCAAAGUUGUGUCAGUGAAUACAAACAGGUAGGUAGCCAUCCAAGCUUCCUGAAGGAGGUUCGAGAUCACAUGCAGGACUCUUUCUUAAUGCAGCCUGAGGUAAGAAGGAAUGUAAAUGGAGUUCAAGGCCUUAACAUUUUCGAGCACUGCUACUACUGUCAUUAAUAUGUAUCUGAAAAAUCUUGUCCAAUUUGAAAUAUAUUAAAAUUUCCAAACUUAAAUUGUAUCAAAUGAUGAAUGUUUUCUUUAUCUCCAAGGCAUAGAUUUCUAAUUUCACUAAUUUUACGUGUAUUUUCUUGUGAUACGCUCAUUUGUCUUUAGAUAUUUAUGUUCUUAGGAAAUUAUUUUCAGAUUUUUUUUAGUGCACAAUACCUUGUACACAGUAGGCAUUUAAUAAAGGGAUAUAAAAAUCCUCUCUUUUGUAUCUACCUGAAAAGUUAAAAAAGAAAC